Molecule: long non-coding RNA, 632 nt
Organism: Aethalodelphis obliquidens (Pacific white-sided dolphin)
Lineage: Eukaryota; Metazoa; Chordata; Mammalia; Artiodactyla; Delphinidae
Exons: 2
Source: RefSeq, a predicted model, not a curated record
AAAAACCCAAGUUUUAAGAUUUAUUUAAGAAAAAGUCAAAUGUAAUAGGGAGAAGUAGGUGAAUAGGAGCUAAGACAAUGAAGAAGGUAUUUUAAACGGUAAUGUUGAUUUCACUUUUCUUUCUAGACUCACAUACAAAGAGUACCAAAAAUACAGUGAUGUCCAAUAAACAAGUAUGCUAAAUAAAUAUGAAUUUCCUUAGUUAUAAUUAUAUUUAAAUUGUUUACAUUCAGAAUAUAGAAGUAGAAAGCUAAUCAGCCCAAUCAUUUCACAGUCUGUAACCCCAAAUACAAAAUGACAGGCCCAAAAUUUUCUCAUUUUUCUUCCUCAUCUAGGUGCAAAGUGAAUCCAUCUUCCUCAGAAAUCUGUAAAAGCCUUCUCCAAUUGGGAACUCUUUUUCUAUCUCCUUGCGGAUACAGACCACUUCACUAUACAUUCUACUAAUUCUGAAUAUUAGGAGGUCCUGAUAAGGAAAAUAGAACUGACAAGCUACCACCAGCCGGAAGAGAGGCCAAAGUGAGGGAGGAGAUGCCAGCCCAUAAUAUGUCCUGCCAACCUCCCAGAAAUCCUCACGCUGGAAACCAUCUUGACUGAGAGAUGUAUGCGCUGCCAGGAAGUGGACCAAAUAUGGG